Molecule: long non-coding RNA, 791 nt
Filed under: Mus musculus (house mouse)
Lineage: Eukaryota; Metazoa; Chordata; Mammalia; Rodentia; Muridae
Description: predicted gene, 47059
Source: RNAcentral
AUGCUGCUUGAGCUGCCAGAGACGCACGUUGAAAAGACAACGAGCCCGUCCGAACAGACUGCCGGUUUUAUAACCGCAAGGCCCAUGUUGUCCUCGUUUAUAUGUUGUUGCUGUUCUCACGUGAGUCCAAGAUUUACAGAAUGUGAUGCUCCAGUGAAAGCUGCCCACCCACCAAAAAACACUUUCAGAGAAAUCUCAACUGCAAAGCCAUCCUACAAGGCAAGACAAGGCAGACGGGAGGGAGAAUACACACAGAGAAUGAAAAACCUUCCUAUGUGGAGCUGGCUAGUUUUAUGUCAGCUUGACAAAAGCUAAAGUAACUGGAGAGGAGGGAGGGAGCCUCAAAUGAGAAAAUGCCUAGGUCAGAUUGCUGUAGGCAAUCCUGGAGGGUGUUUUCUUAGCCAGUGAUUGACAUGAGAGGGCCCAGCCCAUUGUGGGUGGGACUGGGUUGUAUAAGGAAGCAGGCUGAGAAAGCCAUGGUGAACAAACCUAUAAGCAGCACCCCUCCAUGGCUUCUGCAUCAGCUCCUGCCUCCAGGUUCUUACUCUGUUUCACUUCCUGCCCUGACGUCUUUGAUGAUGUAAACAGUGUCGUGGAAGUCUAAGUUGAAUGAACCCCUUCCUCUCCAACUUGAUAUUGGUCAUGGUGUCUCAUUGAAGCAACAGCGACCCUAAGACACAUGCUAAGCCUCCAACUGCUACUUAGGAUACAGAGGCAUCUCUUUCUCUCAAGAAUUCUAAGAUAGAGAAUAAAACAGCUGCUUUCCCCUGGAGAGAGAGAGAGAAAGAGAG